RNAcentral lists this ribosomal RNA (119 nucleotides) under Aotus nancymaae (Ma's night monkey). The record is from RNAcentral. Lineage: Eukaryota; Metazoa; Chordata; Mammalia; Primates; Aotidae.
UGUAAGAAAUAUUCUCCCUUGAACGUGCCUGAUCUCAUCUGAUCUCAGAAGCUAAGCAGGGUUGGGCCUGGUUAGUAGUACUUAGAUGGGAGACUGCCUGGGAAUACCAGGUGCUGUAG